UGGGGAAUCUUGCACAAUGGGCGGAAGCCUGAUGCAGCGACGCCGCGUGGGGGAUGACGGCCUUCGGGUUGUAAACUCCUUUCGCCAGGGACGAAGCCGUGAGGUGACGGUACCUGGAUAAGAAGCACCGGCUAACUACGUGCCAGCAGCCGCGGUAAUACGUAGGGUGCGAGCGUUGUCCGGAAUUACUGGGCGUAAAGAGCUCGUAGGUGGUUUGUCGCGUCGUCUGUGAAAUUCCGGGGCUUAACUCCGGGCGUGCAGGCGAUACGGGCAUAACUUGAGUGCUGUAGGGGAGACUGGAAUUCCUGGUGUAGCGGUGAAAUGCGCAGAUAUCAGGAGGAACGCCGAUGGCGAAGGCAGGUCUCUGGGCAGUAACUGACGCUGAGGAGCGAAAGCAUGGGUAGCGAACAGG
RNAcentral lists this ribosomal RNA (412 nucleotides) under Bacillota bacterium. RNAcentral's name for it is "Firmicutes bacterium partial 16S ribosomal RNA". It matches the Rfam family "Bacterial small subunit ribosomal RNA", at positions 355 to 776 of the family's 1533-position model. The record is from RNAcentral. Lineage: Bacteria; Bacillati; Bacillota.